CAUGAACAUGCCUUUUCAAAUCUCUCUCUUUUCAUGAUCCAGAACCCUGAAUUUAAAUUUUGAAUCAGUUUCUUUGAGAUUUCAUUUUGUUACACUACAAGUACAAAUGGUUCGCCAAAAAAUUUGUGAAGCUAACUUCGGCAUCUACUGCUGGUUUUUUCAGGUGAUAGUAGUGUUAAGUUUGGUUUCUGUAGUUAUAUGGCGCUGUCUAAUCCCAAGAAAUCCAUCUUUUACCAUUGUAAACAUAUACUUUCCUUCUCUAAAUUCUGAGAAUUCUUCUGUUGGAAACUCUUCUCUAAUACUUUUCGAUUUCAAAAUCUCGAAUCCUAACAAAGGUAUUAGCAUAUACUAUGACGGGAUCUCCUUGAGUUUAUUUUUCAAAGAUGUCUUUGUUGGGACAAGUUCUACACCACCAUUUUAUCAAGGACACAAGAACGAUACUUCAUGGAAAAUAACUAUUAAAGCUGACUCAGCCGUGGUCCACCGAAAUUUUCAGCAAGGACUAAGAGGUUGAAGUAUAGAUUUUAAAGUGGAGGUGGAAACUGCAGUCAAGUUUAAGAUAUUCUGGCGGAAAACAAAGGAGCAUCAGAUAGGAUGUGAAGCAUAUUUUACCAGUAUGAAAACCAGUUUCAAUGAGAGUUUAUCAGUUGGGAAUGAUGUGAUGUGAAGCUGCACCAGAUAUUGAAGCCAACCAGGUUGUAGAGUGUGAAAUUGAGUUUCGCUAGUCAUCAAGUUGAGUAAAUACUGAAAUAGUCGUGAAAUCAAACUUUGAAAAUUGUCUUUGUUUUAUUUUCAUUUUUUCUAAUGUUAAUCAGGAACCGAAAAACAUGACGCUCAACUAUUCAGAAAUGAUAUUAUUAUUCACUGAGUGAAUACGAAUGUCGUAUAAUAGUAGUCUAGUAGAGUGCAAAUGUUUAAAAUAAAAAUUUUCAGACAACUGUAAAAAUUUUGUGUCACGGAUAUGACGAAAAAGGAAUAUGCU
RNAcentral lists this long non-coding RNA (982 nucleotides) under Olea europaea subsp. europaea. The record is from RNAcentral. Lineage: Eukaryota; Viridiplantae; Streptophyta; Magnoliopsida; Lamiales; Oleaceae.